Molecule: unclassified non-coding RNA, 3012 nt
Filed under: Leishmania donovani
Lineage: Eukaryota; Euglenozoa; Kinetoplastea; Trypanosomatida; Trypanosomatidae
Description: gene:LdHU3.02.0440(CDS-product:casein_kinase_II_a lpha_chain_putative)
Source: RNAcentral
CAAGCACGCGUCUCUCCUCUCGUGCAUCCUUCUCUGUGUGCCUCUCUGUUCUGCGUGUCUCUCUCUCUUUUUCUCUCUCUAUAUCACUCGACUCGUCCAGUGCUCCGAACGGAAAUCAAAGGAAUGGCCAACGUGGACGCCGCAGCCCACCGCGCCGACGGCGGGCGGCACGGCGGCGGCGGGGGCGGCAGCGGAGACGAAUCUAAGGCGAAGAAAACGAAGCCGGAGGAGUACGAGCACCCGUUCUGGUACGUGUAUCGCCAGCGCGGCGUCAGCUACUGGGACUAUAAAAACGCGAGGGUCGACUUCAACGCGAACUUGGCCCCGUACGAGCUGCUGCAGAAAAUCGGGCGCGGCAAGUAUUCGGAGGUGUUUCGUGGCCGGAACCGCAACAACGGAUGCCUGUGUGUCCUCAAGCUGCUCAAGCCGGUGCGCUACCAGAAGAUUCUGCGCGAGAUUAGCAUCCUGCGCAACCUCUGCGGUGGCCCCAACGUCGUCCGCCUUCUCGAUGUGCUGCGCGACGCGGAGUCACAGACGGUGGUGCUCGUCACAGAGUACGUGCACAACCCGACAACGCUGCGCAACCUCCUCUACUCGAACAAGCUCUCCAACUUCGACAUGCGCUACUACCUGUACGAGAUUCUACGCUCGCUGGACUUCGCCCACCGCCGCGGCAUCUUCCACCGCGACAUCAAGCCCUACAAUGUCAUGAUCGACCACGAGCGCAAGAUCCUGCGUGUGAUCGACUGGGGGCUGGGCGAGUACUACAUCCACGGACAGGCGCUCAACUGCGGUGUGGCAACACGGCACUACAAGGGGCCGGAGCUGCUGGUCGGCUACCGCCACUACGACUACUCGCUAGACAUCUGGUGCCUCGGGUGCGUACUGGCAGGCAUGCUCUUCCGCAGCGACCCCUUCUUCGUCGGCGCCAACAACGAGGAUCAGCUCCUUCAGAUUGUGGCGGUGUUUGGCAAGAAGGCUCUGUACCGCUACCUCGACAAGUACCAGUGCCGCAUAUCGCGCGUCGUAGAGUCGAGCAUGAGCGCCCUCCCUGACGAGCACGUCGACUGGCGCCGGUACAUCAAGAGGGGAUCCAUCCAGGAGUCGUGGUGCGACGCGACCGCGUUGGACUUGCUCGAUAAGAUGCUGCAGUUCGACCAUCAGGACCGCAUCAUGGCCCAUGAGGCGAUGCAGCAUCCCUUCUUUGCCCCCGUGCGUGAUGCGCUGGCAAAGGACUCGCAGGAGCAUUAUCCCGUAGCGCGGCACUGAGCGAAACGGAAAGAGACACCGAAAGACCGGGUGUGCGGCACGCCGGCGCCACCACCCCCACCAACGCCGCCACCGCUGCCAGAUCAGGGGGCUGAGGGAGAGGCACGGCCACGUACGCUGUGGCUUCUCUCUGCAUGUGCCGAUAGUAAUGAUGGAGAUUGGAAGGGGGAGAGAGAGCAUGGGUGGACGGAUCGGGUAGGCGCGCGGGUGGCUCGGGCAGCAUGAUGCCGUCGCCAGCUCGACUGGUGGGCGUCAGUGCUGCUUCUGCUGUCUUGUCUCUUUUCUUUGCUGCGGUCUGCACCGCCUCAUCUGUGGAUCGCCCCCUCCUCCCUCUUUCACUCUCUCUCUCUCUCUCGCUGUGCCGAGCUGCACGGGCUUGUCAUGGGCCCUUUUGGUUUGUGUGUUGAUGUUCCGUGGAUGCGACGGCUUUAAGGUGUGUUGGUACACUGUCGUCGCCCACCCCCUCCUCUUCCUCUUCCUCCCCCGCUGUGCGUACCUUCCUGCCCAUGUGCUUGUAUACGUGUCUCCCAGCAUCUCGCUCGCUUCAUCGCAUCCGCUCGCUGGAUCUCUCAGCGGCCAUGUAAGUGUGUGUGCGUGCCCUCCUUCCUUGCGCCGACUUGCUUUAAGCGCUCUUCCCCCCCCUCCAACUCUCCUUUCACGUGGGCGUCGCGGGCUCUUUCAUCUGUGAACGCACUGUGCUGUGCCGUGCUCCGGCUUGGACGGAGGAGGGCUGCGUUACAUGGCUGUUGCCGUUUCCAUGAAGUUCAUCGCCGUCGCUGCUAGUCGACAGUAUCGUUGCUCGACCACGUUUUCAGGGGGAGAGGGGCCUCCGUGGCGCUGUCGGCACCUCUCUGUGCGAUGGAGUGCCUCUAUAUACGCGUGCCUGCUUGCCUGCUCGCCUGUGAAGGCACUCACGCUGUCUCGCGCGCUCUCGCGCCAGAUCCCACAGGAGGAGUGGUGGUGGGAGUGGGGUGGAUGGCGUAAAAUGCUAAGCGCAAGCAGAAACGAAAAGGGGCUGCGCACGCUUCGUCCCCUCACUUGUCUUGCUGGCGAGACGGGCGGGUAUACACAGACGGAGGACAGGCGAGCAUAGGAGUAGGGAGGGGGUCGGGCGUGCGUGCGUGUGCGGAAGGGAGGGCAACAAGACUCGGAAGACGGGGCAUGAUGGAGGGUGAUGACUUUGUGCAACACUGUCCUGUGAUCUUGACAUGCUCUGCUUGCCGAGGUGUGCUUGUCUCUGCGCCCGUGCUCUCUGCAUGAAUGACGCUGUUGCCGCUCGGCUCUGCAGUGCGGGCGGGGAGUGAUGGGAAUGUGCAGCGCAGAGCGAUGGAAGCCCGACGUGUGCGGCCCCUGCACCCGUUCAUCCCUAUCGGCGCGCGCACACACACACACAUAUGCGCGCAUGCGAUGACAUCAGUUGCAGACGUAAAGCGAAAAGGAAAGGAUGUGAAUACAUCCAAGAAGUGCGCCGUCGUUCACGAAUCAGUGACCGAUAGGCCUGCAUGCGGGCCCCCUCCCUCCCCCCUAUCCGCUUCUCCAGCCUCUGUCUCCCGCCUGCGCUUGCCUCUCCGUGGCUUCUCGCCCGCUUUCCCACGCCCUCCUGUGCCAUCCUCCUUGUGCGGGGUCGUUCUCCACGACGAGGCGCACCGGCGCGCUGGUGCGGUGAUUGGAAGCGCGCGCACCCCUCAUCGACACGUAGGCGCACUUCCAUCUCUUCUCCUCCUCUACGCUUGAACGCUCCAG